This 420-nucleotide ribosomal RNA is filed under the name uncultured bacterium. RNAcentral describes it as "bacterial SSU rRNA". It matches the Rfam family "Bacterial small subunit ribosomal RNA", at positions 356 to 773 of the family's 1533-position model. The record is from RNAcentral.
AAGGAAUAUUGGUCAAUGGGCGCAAGCCUGAACCAGCCAUGCCGCGUGAAGGAUGAAGGCCCUAUGGGUCGUAAACUUCUUUUGUCAGGGAAAAAACCCCCGAACGUGUUCGGGGCUGAUGGUACCUGAAGAAUAAGCAUCGGCUAACUCCGUGCCAGCAGCCGCGGUAAUACGGAGGAUGCAAGCGUUAUCCGGAUUCAUUGGGUUUAAAGGGUGCGUAGGCGGAUUGGUAAGUCAGUGGUGAAAUCUCACGGCUCAACUGUGAAACUGCCAUUGAUACUGCCAGUCUUGAGUACAUUUGAAGUGGGCGGAAUGUGUCAUGUAGCGGUGAAAUGCUUAGAUAUGACACAGAACACCGAUUGCGAAGGCAGCUCACUAAACUGUAACUGACGCUGAGGCACGAAAGCGUGGGGAUCAAAC